Long non-coding RNA from Phacochoerus africanus (Common warthog), 170 nucleotides. RefSeq lists it as uncharacterized. Lineage: Eukaryota; Metazoa; Chordata; Mammalia; Artiodactyla; Suidae. The record is from RefSeq and is a predicted model, not a curated record. The transcript is spliced from 2 exons.
AUUUUUAUUUAGAUCCAAGUCAGAAAGUAGUGCCCAAACAAAUACCAGCAGUAACCAAUAAUUCCUUCAGAAGGCGAUGGAUAUUACCUGGGGUCUCACUGAGACAUAAAAAUUCAGCCUGUCCUUCCCUGGUCACAGCUGAAGAAAACAAUAAACCGAGUGUGAACCAA